Molecule: transfer RNA, 77 nt
Filed under: Fusobacterium sp. DD1
Lineage: Bacteria; Fusobacteriati; Fusobacteriota; Fusobacteriia; Fusobacteriales; Fusobacteriaceae
Also listed under: 13 other names
Description: tRNA-Arg
Rfam family: tRNA
About the family: Transfer RNA (tRNA) molecules are approximately 80 nucleotides in length. Their secondary structure includes four short double-helical elements and three loops (D, anti-codon, and T loops).
Source: RNAcentral
GUGUCUGUAGCUCAGCUGGAUAGAGCAACGCCCUUCUAAGGCGUGGGCUAGGAGUUCGAAUCUCUUCAGACACGCCA